AGUGUGUGUGUGUGUAUUGUAGCAUGUACAGUCUUUGGUUUGUAUGAAGAAACUAACUUGUAAUCUAAACUAAUCUAACUCAACUCUGAUGAAGUCCACAGCUACAAAAUUUGCUUGAAACCCACCAUAAUCUGGCCAGAACACUACUUGCCAGCAGGGAUUUCACCUGAAACUCACUAUUACCACUUGACCACUGCCUGUGAGUAUUUCCACACUUCCACUACAUUUCCACAAUUAGCCAUAACUGGAUGAAGACACACCCUUAACCAGCCUCAUGUCAGUAUGCUGCCUGAUCCACCAGUUUGUAAACCUGUUAAUGAAACAAACGGGAAACAAGUGCAGUUGUUCUGCCUGUUAGAGAACUGGUGAGGUUCUCCAACAGCCACAACACCUGUCAUCACACAUCGCCAUUACGCAUGGCUCUGUGGCCAUUUAUAGUGUCAUGCAUCACCGCACAUUCUGUUUUUGUACAUACUACAUAAUAAAUAGCUUAUAUGUAGGAAAUGAGUCCAUGGGCCAGGCCAGAAUCUGGUACCAAAAUCUCUUUGGCACCACUUUGUUUGUAGGGUUCAUAAAAGUACUUUGAAACAUGAUAACCGUUUCAAAUGAGUAGCUUUACUAGUUUUUUUGGACAAUCAUUGUUUUUCACCCCACAGUAUCUGUACAGUAGGUUUGUGUGCUGUCUAUCGUAACAUGUUAUGUACCAAUAUAUGCAAUAAUUAAGUUUGAAUCAUGCAUAGACUAUAUCAUAUAUACAAAGAAAAUAAACAGGUUCUAUGAGUUGUCUUUUUCAGUAAGUGAACGUUUAGAGAAAGAGUCACCCACAGCCAAGUUCCAUGACAAAAUGAGAAAACAGAAUCUGAAGACAUUCUCAAACAUCACUAAAAGUGAUUAAAGUAAGAAAUUAGAGUAAACCAAGCACAAAACAAGGAGGUGGUCUUGGAAGCAGAGGGAAAUCUCUUUGGGCAUAUGAUCAUGGCUUCACAAAGUAGAGAUCUUCACAUUAAUGAUGUCCUGGCUCAUCCACUUGGUCCAUUGCCUUGGGCACUCUCAAAUUCAGAUGGUUCAUUGCAGAAAACUAAAAAGGCUGCUCUUGCAACAGAGUUAGAGAGAUCAGCAUCAGCAGUUGAAGAUACUGGAGAGAACUCUGCAUGCAUCAUUGAUGCAAUGUGCCUUGUUCAGAAACUGAAAGGUGAUGGCAAGACUUUUGGAGAAAUGGCUGGUUCUGUGCUGAACCUAGCAUUGCACGAAGGAGGAAACAGUAAGCUGAUAGAUGAGAGUGGUGUUUGAUGUGCACUGGAAAACAUCAAUCAAGAAUGCUGAGAGAUGCAGUCAUGGUUCAGCAAGUAGCACUCAAUGGAAGAACAUUGCCCCAGGACACAAUGUUGUGCAGUGGAGAAAGCUGUUAAGAGAUAGAGACAGAAAAACAGACUUGAUAACAUUCAUCGUGGACCAGUGGAGGCAGAGAACCAGGUAAAGCUUCAGGAGAAGCAGCUACUUGCAACCUGUGGAGAGAUAUUCUGUUUGUCUGAGCAAAAAAAGACUGGAAUGUUGCUGAAAAGCUGAAAUCUUCCCUUGAGGAGGCGGAUAUCUGUAUGCUCCUACAUGUAAAUCAUGGCUGCCAGAAUGGCUAUGAAACCACAGCUUCUGUGAGUGAGGUUACAGAUGUCAUGAUCCUUUGUCUCGAACACUGUAAGAAGAUAAACUGCCCCCGUAUCAGAAAUAUGGCACUCAGAAUUAGACAAGGUUCAUCAACAUCAGCGACCUUUCUCAGCUCCUUGGAGAUGACCUACUGUAUGUGAUGCUCUUGUAGGUGUACAUGCUUUUAUGGGUUGUGAUAGAGUAAGUGCUUUUGCAGGACGAGGAGAUGUCAGCGCUCUCAAACUUGUCAAAGGAAACAGCAUAUUCCAAGAGUCCUUCAAAUCCCUGGAAACAUCCUAGGAUGUAUCAAGGAACCUAUAAAAUCUUUUAUCUUUUAUAGGUUCCUUGGGAUGUAUCAGAGGGAUUAUACAGCAUCAUUUGGAAUCAUUUGUUUGCUGGAUGGAUGCACCAUCAUCUAGCAUAUGCGAUGUCAAUGAUCUACGUUACCUGCUGUUCUGCACCAAAGCUGCAUAUACAGCAUGCCAAUUACCAGGCAGCAGUCUGGAGGCACUGCCUGGAUAUAGUCAGACAUAGCAGAGCCAAAAGGACAUGGAUGGACAACUGAUGACAAAGGUGUGCUGAUGUUACACUAGACGCAGGACCCCCAACACCGAUGGCAGUCCUGGAGCUUAUGGCCUGCAAGUUUGUAUGGACCUGUAAGCAAACCUACAGCAAUCAGAGGGAGGAGUAGGUGGAUGUAGAAGUUGUUGUGAAACUGGUUGACUAUGAUGACGAUAAUCAAAGAGAACAUGGAUACUUGCGAAUGGAUACUAGUAUGACAGUAUAAUAUGUUUGAUGAUGAUGAUCAUCAUUGGUACAUGUAUUAAAUAAGUGAAUGAAAGAGGUAAAAUGCUUCUUUUUUUCUAUGUAUGACAUGUUCUGUUCAAAUAAAGUGACAAGAUUU
Long non-coding RNA from Thunnus maccoyii (southern bluefin tuna), 2545 nucleotides. RefSeq lists it as uncharacterized. Lineage: Eukaryota; Metazoa; Chordata; Actinopteri; Scombriformes; Scombridae. The record is from RefSeq and is a predicted model, not a curated record. The transcript has 2 exons.